ACACGCAUGACACACUGCAUAUCAAUAAGCGGAGGAAAAGAAACUAACAAGGAUUCCCUUAGUAACGGCGAGUGAAGCGGGAAGAGCUCAAAUUUGAAAUCUUCAAGGUUUUACCUUGACGAAUUGUAGUUUAAAGAAGUGUUUUCUGUUGAAGUUUUGGUAAAAGUUCUUUGGAAUAGGACAUCAUAGAGGGUGAGAAUCCCGUAUUUGACCAUUAUUUUCAGCUGUGUGAUACACUUUCAAAGAGUCGGAUUGUUUGGGAAUGCAGUCCAAAAUGGGUGGUAAAUUUCAUCUAAAGCUAAAUAUUGGCGAGAGACCGAUAGCGAACAAGUACCGUGAGGGAAAGAUGAAAAGAACUUUGAAAAGAGAGUUAAACAGUACGUGAAGUUGUCAAAAGGGAAGCGUUUGACACCAGUGUUGUUUUCUCGAAAAUCAAUUACGAAUGUUUUGUUUUUAAGAAGUUAUGACUUCAUCGGCUUGCUUCUUUCUUUACGAAACUUUCUUAAUGCACUUUUCGGUUAACAAGUCAACAUCAAUUUCUUUUGUUGUAAAAGGGUAUGAGGAAGGUGGCUUUCUUUUCGGAGAAAGUGUUUAUAGCCUUGUACCUCUGCAAUCGGAGAGAUUGAGGUCUGCAGCGUAGAUCCUUCGGGGUUAGAUACAUUGUGCUAAGCUAUAGCCUUGUAUAGACAACUUGUUGACUAUACUCAGUCAUGUAGCUUACUCGCAUGAUAGCUAUUUUACCUACGCUUAGGAUGUUGACGCGCGUGUGUGCGUG
Molecule: ribosomal RNA, 775 nt
Filed under: uncultured Neocallimastigales
Lineage: Eukaryota; Fungi; Neocallimastigomycota; Neocallimastigomycetes; Neocallimastigales
Description: partial large subunit ribosomal RNA
Rfam family: Eukaryotic large subunit ribosomal RNA
Source: RNAcentral